RNAcentral lists this long non-coding RNA (486 nucleotides) under Vigna radiata. Its description in RNAcentral is "long non-coding RNA (VRAD_LNC004494)". The record is from RNAcentral. Lineage: Eukaryota; Viridiplantae; Streptophyta; Magnoliopsida; Fabales; Fabaceae.
GGAAGACUCUGAUUGAGAAUAACAAGAUCGUAGUUCAGAGAAAGAGAACACGCGGCGUUGGGGUUCUCCGACGAAAGAAGAAAACUCGAACAAUGACACAUCAAAUCCAUAUUUUUUCACAAGAUGCUUCUUUUGGGAGGCGAGAUGUCUGUUUUGCUCCCAAACUUUUCCUGACGCUAUACACCCCACUUCAGUAUUCCGUUUUUUGUUUCAAUAAUGAUGGUGAUAAUAUUAUAUUGAUGCACUUGCUUCUUCUCCUUUAUUCAAUCAUUCGCUGCUUUCUAUUCCCAUUGAAUGUGCUUGGAUCUGAUAAAAUAAAAUCCCAACUGUAACCAAACUCUAAUAAACCUCAUCUGUCAUAUAUGUGCGAUGAAAUUACAAUUACAACCCCAACAAUUGGAUUCGAUUCAAUUCAAUUUUGGUGUGCAGUGGAACAAACGUGGUUGAUUACCAUACGCGAAACCACCCUUUGAAGAAGAAUCACUA